Molecule: non-coding RNA, 278 nt
Organism: Pelobates cultripes (western spadefoot toad)
Lineage: Eukaryota; Metazoa; Chordata; Amphibia; Anura; Pelobatidae
Source: the annotation of a GenBank genome assembly
GAAGUCUUGGAGAAGCAGGGAGUCUGGGGAAAAUCAGGGUUUCUGGGGAUGAGCAGGAAGUCUGGGGAGAAGGGUGGAGUCUGGUAUCGAACUUGGAGUAUAGAAAGGAACUAGCCACUAAGUAGGAAGGGAGCUUGGUGAAGAUCAGGGAGCCUGGAACAGUUUAGAAUUAUUAGAGUGAGCUAGUGGCCUGGGAGGAAAAGGGAGCUUGGGACAGAGAAUGGAUCUUUCGAAGGAACGGGUUGCCUUGUAGGGUAAGGGAGCUUGGGAAGAAACAG